UGGGGUCUCGCAAGGGGCCCUAGUGUAUUCCUGAGUCUGGCCAAACCUUGUAAGCGUACACUGCAACCAGUUAGACGAUCAGCAGUGGGCACAGUGGUUGGAGUCAGCCAGCAAUGGUCGGCUCCUUCUACGAAGCAAUUGUUUGUGUGGGUUAGUAGUAGUGCGGUUGUGCUUCGGUGCUUCUCGUGUGCUGGGCCCAUGCAAGUGAACUACAGCUGAAUACUGACUGGCGAAAUGAAAAUCACCUUUUAGGUGUUAGAGACAAAGCAGCUAGCCAGACGUGGGCCUACACGGUCGACUGUUAGGUCUAAGCUUGGCGCUCUUGAAUUCAGACUUGCUUGCUACCAGUGGGGCAACUCCUGGUGCUUGUAUAGCUUCUGUCUAAUCGGGCGUCGACUUGGCUUGUCAUUGUUCGGUCGUGCUACGAUAGGGUUUGCGUCUGAGUUAGUUUGCAAUGUGAAU
Molecule: ribosomal RNA, 462 nt
Filed under: Aceria tosichella (wheat curl mite)
Lineage: Eukaryota; Metazoa; Arthropoda; Arachnida; Trombidiformes; Eriophyidae
Description: partial 28S ribosomal RNA
Source: RNAcentral